UGGGCAAGUAUUACUUGUUUUUAAAAGGAUAAUCUCUUUCAUGCCACAUACAGCCUAUUUAUACUAGUUUUCCAACUCAAGAAUGAAAAGGAAAAACGUCCAAAUAAAUUUCAGGCUUAAUGAGCAAUCAAGAGGAUCAUGAGAAUAAAUUGAGAUUAAUACAAAAACGUUUUCAUCCAUUUAAGGCCAAACGUUUUUGUAAUAAAAAAA
RNAcentral lists this long non-coding RNA (210 nucleotides) under Solanum tuberosum (potato). RNAcentral describes it as "long non-coding RNA (STUB_LNC001689)". The record is from RNAcentral. Lineage: Eukaryota; Viridiplantae; Streptophyta; Magnoliopsida; Solanales; Solanaceae.